AGAAGCCUCUGCAGUUUUCUAUGCUUCUGCCAGCCCAGAAACGUCUUAAAAGUUAAUACUAGAAUUUAUUAUUCAAAUGGAGGCUGCAUGUGUGACAGGAAUCCCCAUAUAUGAUUUCUUCUUUGAGACCAAGGAAGAAACAAAACAAGAAAAUGAAAUAAAGUUGCUGCUGUGAUUGCAGAAUUACUUAGAGUAACCUCUGAAGAAACGUGCCCAUUGGG
Cercocebus atys (sooty mangabey) is the source of this 221-nucleotide long non-coding RNA. RefSeq lists it as uncharacterized. The transcript has 3 exons. The record is from RefSeq and is a predicted model, not a curated record. Lineage: Eukaryota; Metazoa; Chordata; Mammalia; Primates; Cercopithecidae.